Molecule: ribosomal RNA, 468 nt
Filed under: uncultured bacterium
Lineage: Bacteria
Description: partial 16S ribosomal RNA
Rfam family: Bacterial small subunit ribosomal RNA
Source: RNAcentral
GACGAACGCUGGCGGCGUGCUUAACACAUGCAAGUCGAACGGUAAGGCCCUGCUUUUGUGGGGUGCUCGAGUGGCGAACGGGUGAGUAACACGUGAGUAACCUGCCCUUGACUUUGGGAUAACUUCAGGAAACUGGGGCUAAUACCGGAUAGGAGCUCCUGCUGCAUGGUGGGGGUUGGAAAGUUUCGGCGGUUGGGGAUGGACUCGCGGCUUAUCAGCUUGUUGGUGGGGUAGUGGCUUACCAAGGCUUUGACGGGUAGCCGGCCUGAGAGGGUGACCGGCCACAUUGGGACUGAGAUACGGCCCAGACUCCUACGGGAGGCAGCAGUGGGGAAUAUUGCACAAUGGGCGGAAGCCAGAUGCAGCAACGCCGCGUGCGGGAUGACGGCCUGCGGGUUGUAAACCGCUUUCGCAUGUGACGAAGCGUGAGUGACGGUAAUGGGUAAAGAAGCACCGGCUAACUACGUG